Molecule: ribosomal RNA, 253 nt
Filed under: uncultured bacterium
Lineage: Bacteria
Description: partial 16S ribosomal RNA
Rfam family: Bacterial small subunit ribosomal RNA
Source: RNAcentral
UACGUAGGGUGCAAGCGUUGUCCGGAAUUAUUGGGCGUAAAGAGCUCGUAGGCGGUCUGUUGCGUCGGCUGUGAAAACCCGAGGCUCAACCUCGGGCCUGCAGCCGAUACGGGCAGACUAGAGUUCGGCAGGGGAGACUGGAAUUCCUGGUGUAGCGGUGGAAUGCGCAGAUAUCAGGAGGAACACCGGUGGCGAAGGCGGGUCUCUGGGCCGAUACUGACGCUGAGGAGCGAAAGCGUGGGGAGCGAACAGG